CUACCUUGGGUAGGGGUAUCUCAAAAAUGUAUAGGCUUUGCCACUAGCUUAUAGUGUAAAAUGUAUCUUCUGUGUGUCUGCCACUAUAUACAGUUCUGGCAUCAGAUCUCUGCUGUUUGUUAAUCACAAUCCAUCUCAGGUCACUGUAGAAUUCUCUCUUUGUUAUGUUAUAACAGUAUCCCCCACAUUCUGAAAUUGCAUUUUUGUCCCCCCCAGUUUUAUCAUUGGAAUGUGAUACAAAACGAGGCACCAGUGUGCUUUAGGACCAUGCGGACGCCUCCGAGCAUCGGGUAGGCUGUUUUUAUCCGACAAUUUUUUUGUUUUGUUAUGUCCCCCCACUUCUAAAACCAAAGUUGUGCCCCUGUAAUAAACAAUAACAAUACAAAUGUAAGAAAAAGUUUAAGGGACACAAUUUUUUAUAUGCAGAUUUUUUGUUGUCGUUACAAUUUCUCUGUCAUAAUAAUAUAUUUGAGUAUGUCUGAUCAUUGGGCAAUGGCUGCCCCUCCCCACCUACCAAGAAUGGCUGGCCCAGUUUUCUGAUAGGCUGAGCUAAGGUGGUGCAAAAAUUCACAUUCAAAUUCAAACGUGCAUCAGCAGAGAGACCAGCUCUGACUCCCACUUUUGUAACCCACUUUUUUUCUUUUUUUUCUGGUUCUGCUGGUCCAAGAACCUUGUCUGCGCUGAGAAAUUAUCUAGGUUUAGCACCGACAGACCAGCUGCUGCUGCAGAAGACAGUCGAGGUCUCACAGCCCACCAACACAACCAACUUGAGAAGAGCCAACGAUGUGCAACCUGGCCUUGCAGUCCCUGGAGUCCUUUGCACAGAAGCUUGCAAAAUCCCAGGAUGACAACAAAUGUCUGCCUCAGAUGAGAGCCCAUGUCAGUGGCAGAUCUACCCGAUUCAUCUCGGACUGACAGAUUCUACAACAGCCCUAUGCCUUACUUUGUGAGACUGCUUAAUGCUGCUUUACUGUGAUAUUGUACACCACUUCUAAUAUAUAUAUAUAUAUAUAUAUAUAUAUAUAUAUAUAUAUAUAUAUAUAUAUAUAUUACAUUAACUGAAUUUCCUUGAUCAAGCAAAGGUACAAUGUACACAACAUCUUUAAGGAUGAUGUCAUGCCAAAACAAUAAGGAAAUUUGAAUUAAAAAAGCAUCUUUUGAAAUACAAUCUCAAAGUUAUUGCCUGUAACUCUGACAACAGGGCAGAUGAGAUCAAUUCAGGCUUUGCUGAGAACACUAUCUUGCCAGUACUUUGGUAAUUCAAUAUCAUAGUCAAGUUGAGUUUUGUGUGUGACUUUCUUCAUCUCCUUUCAAGGAGGAUGGCAAAAAACUCCAGCACUUUGUUGGACAUUUGCUUGCUGCUGCACCCGGUUACACUUUAUUGUAGCUAAUAAUGGCAUUAAAAGCAAGCCACAGAUAUGCUGCUCCCAUCCACCCAUAGAGAAUGAUAGAGGCCUCUAGUGGCCAUAAGGCCGUUGUAACAUGUAUAGUACUAUUGAGGGCUUCCAUCAUUUUAAUGUAGUCAGCUGGGUGGGACUUACAACUUCACUGGCUGAUCCCUCCUGGUGACCCUGUUGGAGUCAUGUCCAAUUAGGUCAUCGGGAGGGAUCAGCCAAUCGUGAAAAAGAAAAUGGACUACUUUAAAAUGGAGAAAAUGCCUCAAUUCACAC
Molecule: long non-coding RNA, 1670 nt
Filed under: Oncorhynchus mykiss (rainbow trout)
Lineage: Eukaryota; Metazoa; Chordata; Actinopteri; Salmoniformes; Salmonidae
Description: lncRNA (ENSOMYG00000064114.1)
Source: RNAcentral